Molecule: unclassified non-coding RNA, 359 nt
Filed under: uncultured bacterium
Lineage: Bacteria
Description: contains 16S-23S intergenic spacer region
Source: RNAcentral
UCCCUAAACGGGCAGUCCGGCCAGACACAGAGUAACUGACCGUAGGGGUUGCGCUCGUUGCGGGGCUUAACCCAACAUCUCACGGCACGAGCUGACGACAGCCAUGCAGCAUCUGUGCCACACCCUCGAAGGCGACGCCCUUUCAGGCGCUUGCAGUGGCAUGUCCAAUCUGGGUAAGGUUCUGCGCGUUGCGUCGAAUUAAACCACAUGCUCCACCGCUUGUGCGGGCCCCCGUCAAUUCCUUUGAGUUUCAGCCUUGCGGCCGUACUCCCCAGGCGGGGCACUUAAUGCGUUAGCGCCGGCACUAAAGGGCGGAAACCCUCUAACACUUAGCACUCAUCGUUUACGGCGUGGACUAC